AAUGCGAUCAUUUUCGGUUUGUUUUUCGUAAAGAAAAUUUGUACUCGUUUUUUUUAAUUAUCUAAGCAUAAAACUAUGAUUUCAUAUAAAGUUUUAAUAAUAUUAAGUUUUAUAAUUAAUAUAAGCCACUGUGCAACUGAAAUUACCAAAAUCCAUAAAGAAAUUCAAAGAUGCCAAGAUAAUUUAAAAUUAAUGGGGU
This is a long non-coding RNA of Melanaphis sacchari, 199 nucleotides long. RefSeq lists it as uncharacterized. Lineage: Eukaryota; Metazoa; Arthropoda; Insecta; Hemiptera; Aphididae. The record is from RefSeq and is a predicted model, not a curated record. The transcript has 4 exons.